AACGUAGGUUCCGAGCGUUAUCCGGAUUUACUGGGCGUAAAGCGCGUUCAGGCGGUUCGGCAAGUCGGUCGUGAAAUCCUUCGGCUCAACCGAAGAACGUCGGCCGAUACUGCCGUUCUUGAGGGAUGCAGAGGAGAUUGGAAUUCCCGGUGUAGCGGUGAAAUGUGUAGAGAUCGGGAGGAACACCGGUGGCGAAGGCGGGUCUCUGGGCAUCUCCUGACGCUGAGGCGCGAAAGCGUGGGGAGCAAACGGG
RNAcentral lists this ribosomal RNA (253 nucleotides) under uncultured bacterium. RNAcentral describes it as "partial 16S ribosomal RNA". It matches the Rfam family "Bacterial small subunit ribosomal RNA", at positions 524 to 776 of the family's 1533-position model. The record is from RNAcentral.